RNAcentral lists this ribosomal RNA (497 nucleotides) under uncultured bacterium. RNAcentral's name for it is "partial 16S ribosomal RNA". It matches the Rfam family "Bacterial small subunit ribosomal RNA", at positions 28 to 506 of the family's 1533-position model. The record is from RNAcentral.
GACGAACGCUGGCGGCGUGCCUAAUACAUGCAAGUCGAACGAGAGCGACCGGUGCUUGCACUGGUCAAUCUAGUGGCGAACGGGUGAGUAACACGUGGGUAACCUGCCCAUCAGAGGGGGAUAACAUCCGGAAACGGAUGCUAAAACCGCAUAGGUCUUCGAGCCGCAUGGCUUGAAGAGGAAAAGAGGCGCUAGCUUCUGCUGAUGGAUGGACCCGCGGUGCAUUAGCUAGUUGGUGAGGUAACGGCUCACCAAGGACGUGAUGCAUAGCCGACCUGAGAGGGUAAUCGGCCACAUUGGGACUGAGACACGGCCCAAACUCCUACGGGAGGCAGAAGUAGGGAAUCUUCCGCAAUGGACGCAAGUCUGACGGAGCAACGCCGCGUGAGUGAAGAAGGUUUUCGGAUCGUAAAACUCUGUUGUUGGAGAAGAACAAGUGCUAGAGUAACUGUUAGCGCCUUGACGGAAUCUAACCAGAAAGCCACGGCUAACUACGG